CCCUAUUAUAGUUAAUGUAAAAUUAAUUUUGAGUAGUAUAUGUUUUGGGCAGGAAACUUAAAGAAUUUGGCGGUAUAUAUUCUAAUUAGAGGAAUAUGUUUUUUAAUUGAUGUUUCACAAAUAUCUUACUUAAUUUAAUUUAUUUUGUAUAUCUCCGUCUUAAAAAGAUAUUUAUAAAUAUUUUUUUUAUAUUACAAUAUAAAACAAGUCAGGUCAAGAUGCAGAUUAUAUUUAAGUUAAAAUGUAUUACAAUAAAUUUAUUUUUGGAUUAACUCUGGAAUAUGGUUAUGAAAUUGGAUUUGUAAGUAAAUUUUCUUAUCAUAGUCUAUUGAAUCAUGUUAAUAUAUAUGCACACAUC
This 358-nucleotide ribosomal RNA is filed under the name Ptycta sp. Ptsp.WA.09.20.2007.16. RNAcentral describes it as "partial 12S ribosomal RNA". The record is from RNAcentral. Lineage: Eukaryota; Metazoa; Arthropoda; Insecta; Psocodea; Psocidae.